UAGGGAAUCUUCCGCAAUGGACGAAAGUCUGACGGAGCAACGCCGCGUGAGUGAAGAAGGAUUUCGGUUCGUAAAACUCUGUUGUUAGGGAAGAAAAAAUGUAUAGUAACUAUAUACAAAAGAGACGGUACCUAACCAGAAAGCCACGGCUAACUACGUGCCAGCAGCCGCGGUAAUACGUAGGUGGCAAGCGUUGUCCGGAAUUAUUGGGCGUAAAGCGCGCGCAGGUGGUUUAGAAAGUCUGAUGUGAAAGCCCACGGCUCAACCGUGGAGGGUCAAUGGAAACUAAUAAACUUGAGUGCAGGAGAGAAAAGUGGAAUUCCUAGUGUAGCGGUGAAAUGCGUAGAGAUUAGGAGGAACACCGGUGGCGAAAGCGGCUUUUUGGCCUGCAACUGACACUGAGGCGCGAAAGCGUGGGGAGCAAACAGG
RNAcentral lists this ribosomal RNA (429 nucleotides) under Verrucomicrobiota bacterium. Its description in RNAcentral is "Verrucomicrobia bacterium partial 16S ribosomal RNA". It matches the Rfam family "Bacterial small subunit ribosomal RNA", at positions 355 to 776 of the family's 1533-position model. The record is from RNAcentral. Lineage: Bacteria; Pseudomonadati; Verrucomicrobiota.